Molecule: ribosomal RNA, 429 nt
Filed under: Chloroflexota bacterium
Lineage: Bacteria; Bacillati; Chloroflexota
Description: Chloroflexi bacterium partial 16S ribosomal RNA
Rfam family: Bacterial small subunit ribosomal RNA
Source: RNAcentral
UGGGGAAUAUUGCACAAUGGGCGCAAGCCUGAUGCAGCCAUGCCGCGUGUAUGAAGAAGGCCUUCGGGUUGUAAAGUACUUUCAGCGGGGAGGAAGGGAGUAAAGUUAAUACCUUUGCUCAUUGACGUUACCCGCAGAAGAAGCACCGGCUAACUCCGUUCCAGCAGCCGCGGUAAUACGGAGGGUGCAAGCGUUAAUCGGAAUUACUGGGCGUAAAGCGCACGCAGGCGGUUUGUUAAGUCAGAUGUGAAAUCCCCGGGCUCAACCUGGGAACUGCAGCUGAUACUGGCAAGCUUGAGUCUCGUAGAGGGGAGUAGAAUUCCAGGUGUAGCGGUGAAAUGCGUAGAGAUCUGGAGGAAUACCGGUGGCGAAGGCGGCCCCCUGGACGAAGACUGACGCUCAGGUGCGAAAGCGUGGGGAGCAAACAGG